GAGGGGAGUGCGCUUUGCUUUCCCGGGGUCUGAGGCUAAUUCUUCCCCUCUUACCCAUAAACUCAGCUCCUCAAGCUAAAUGCACAAAAGGGAGCGAGAAUUUUGAACCAUUGGAACAAUGAUGUUACGUACAGGAGGUUUAGAGAGGCGAGUGUAAGAGGAAAAAAAAAAAACCAACAAUAAACACUACAGCUCUUUCCAGCUAGAAUAUUAGGCACCACGAGAAAAAUAUUUGCCAAGCAGUUUUCGUCAGUGAUAGGAAGGAGGUGAUCCUUGUGAACUGGGUAGUCUUUAAGCCACUAGGCUCUAUGUGGAUGUGGAAAAUAUUUCAUAACAUCCUGAAGAAGGGACGGAAGGAGGAAGGAAGAAAGGGAAGGACUUAAAGAGAUUUUCCAGGUAAGAAAUACAGAACUGGCUCAAGCAUCACUGCAUAAAAAGUAAUUAUUUGAAGUCAGAGGAAAUAACAGAUGAGGAGUUUGCCCUUAAAAUAUAAAGAAGAGAAAUAAAAAGAAGCCGUUUUGAUCUACCAGACGAAACUUGAAAGCAAUGAAAUAAUAGUUUCUAUCAAUAUUUCCUAUACAUUUUCAAUUUCCAUUCUUUAUAAAAAAAAAAGGUCUAAAUGUUUUCAGGUCUGAUUGUGGAUGACAUAAGAAGGUUAAGAAAUCUCAUCAUCCUCAGAAAACAACAUCGUGAGCUUCCUCCCCUUAGACUGCCUGGGAUAUUAUACCUAUGAGUAAGCAGGGGUAAAGCCAACUGCCUUGCCACAGUGUAAAACCACUGAGAGGCUAGAACCAGGAGGGUCCUUAGCUUUAUGUAACCCAAUACUACUGAUGUUAUAUCUUUGGAAACUGAGCCCCAGUCAGAACACAUUUGCCACAAGGACUGUCGUUCACAGAGCUGUAUCCAGAACUUUGAUGGCUGGGUUCUAAAUCCACUAUGCUUUUUAAACAGUAUAUUAUGGAAAGAGGAUUACAAUGGGCAGUCUCACAUAAGAGUAUAAGAGUCGUGUGCUGUAGAAUCACAUUCAGAGAAGGCCUCAAAUUUAGACCCUUGACAUUAUCUCCACUGGGUUCGCACAUCAAUCCAAGCGGUCCAUCAACAGGACUGAAAAAAGACCUAUGAGUCCCAGUGCAGGACCAUAGUGUCCUAUAGUACUGUGAUCUAAUGCUGCUCAUAAAUCUUAUGAGUAUGCUGGUGUUAAAAAUGUAAGAUUUGAAAUGUAUUUGGCCUAGAAGAGACAAUAAGCAGCAAGCAUGGCUAAUGCUCAGAUCUGGGUGUCCAAUGCCAUUCCCUGGUAACAGGAACCAAGGCCUCCUGGGAGAAAUGGCUCAGUAGACUGGGCAGGGAGUAUACAAAAUAAGACUGGAACAUCACACAGUACCAUACAGAAGGGAAUUACUGGAACCAAAAUGACAUUGUAGGAGAUGUUUCAAGGACACAAGAGAGCCUCUUGAAGCACUCCCAGUGGCCAAAGGUGGAAUAACUGAGCAACAAAAUAAUUCUAUGUUUGGAUUAUAACCCAGAGUAUAAAAUAAAUAUCCACAAGUCCACAGUGAUAUAAAUAUAUCAUAGGAUAAAUUAAUAAAUAGGCAAGAUGAGACCAAUAUCCCAUGCAGAAGCAUGCCAAGUAAUUUAUAUAGAUACACUGUCUUCUAAGAAGGGAAGCAUAAAUCCUUACUCUCAGCUGUGAGCUGGAUAUAGUAAUGUCCUUCCAAAGAGUUCAGUGUAGAAAAAGAGUAAGAGCAGAGCAACUUAACAAACAAAAACCUGACAAACCCCAUCUCAGCCAGCCAAUCAAAGUCAACGGUGAUAAAUCAUAUUGAUAGUAAAUCCCACUGACAGUCUUCUAAUAAUACUUAAGCUAAUCAUAAGAGAAACUUCAGACAAAUACUAGUAAAGGGGCAUCCUACAAAAUGGUUGACUAACAAUCCUGAAAACCAUCAAGGUCAUCAGAAACAAGCAAAGUCUGAGAAUCUGCCACAGCCAACAAUAGCUGAAGGAGACGUGACAACUUGAUGUAAUGCAAUGCCCCGGAUGCAGUCACAGACCACGAAAAGACACAAGAUAAACUUCAACAAAACUGAAUCAAUGAUGGAUUUUAGUUAAUAAUAAUGCCUCAAUAUUUUUCACUGUUAUAAAUGUACUAAUUUCAGAUGUUAAUAAAGGGGAAACUGGCUGCAGUGUUGUUCUCGGUACCAUUUUAUCAAUUUUCAUGUUAACCUAAAACUUUUAAAACGAAGUCAGUAAGUUGGAAAAAUAUAUACUUAUAAAGUUUUGGAAUUUUUUUUCAAUAGUAGAAACCUCCUAAAAGUGACUUAGACCUCUGAAAGGCUCACUUCCCACUCAGUCAUUUUCCUAACACAGAGUCAGGAAAGUGGGGGUACCAUACUCAUUCUUUGAGUUUACUAAAUUGAAAGCAAUUUAGUUUCUGAAUGCCACCAUCUGUAUAAUGAACCAUCAGAAAAACACUAGGGCGGCUGGGCAUUUAGCUCAGUGGUUUCGCUGCCUGCUGCGCAAGCUCAAGGAUCCAAGUUUGAUCCCCGGUAACCUCUCCCCCCCCCAACAAAACCCACUAGGGAGGCACCAAA
RNAcentral lists this long non-coding RNA (2588 nucleotides) under Heterocephalus glaber (naked mole-rat). RNAcentral's name for it is "lncRNA (ENSHGLG00000049231.1)". The record is from RNAcentral. Lineage: Eukaryota; Metazoa; Chordata; Mammalia; Rodentia; Bathyergidae.